This 229-nucleotide ribosomal RNA is filed under the name uncultured bacterium. RNAcentral's name for it is "partial 16S ribosomal RNA". It matches the Rfam family "Bacterial small subunit ribosomal RNA", at positions 118 to 350 of the family's 1533-position model. The record is from RNAcentral.
UGAGUAACCUGCCCUGGACUUUGGGAUAACCCUCGGAAACGGGGCUAAUACCGGAUAUGACAUGCUCUCGCAUGGGGGUGUGUGGAAAGUUUUUCGGUCUGGGAUGGGCUCGCGGCCUAUCAGCUUGUUGGUGGGGUGAUGGCCUACCAAGGCGACGACGGGUAGCCGGCCUGAGAGGGCGACCGGCCACACUGGGACUGAGACACGGCCCAGACUCCUACGGGAGGCA